AUGAAUUCAUGGUUUAGCGUUCAUAAACCAAACACCUCCAUACAAAAACGACCGUCGCAGCAAACAUCGCUAUCAUUUAGCUUCGGGAUGCUUCAGAUUGAACCUGGGACUCCACACACUCGCUUGAGGUUGACACCCCUAAUAUAGAUGCCGGCAUCAGCAUGCCCUGAUGCUUCAGAUUGGACCUGGGACUCGUUUGAGGCUGAGAUCCCCAAAUUCCGGCGUCAGCAUGGCCCAGCAAGGCUUCAAAUGAAACCACACACCGUACCCUGAAAGAAGGCAUGAACUGAACUAACAUGGAGCGAGCUGGCUAUCUGAAAUGCUCACUUAUAGUCAGCACUUGCCCUUCUUCAAUUAUUAUCAACAUAGCACAUGUUUGGGCAAUCCCUCCUCCAGUUCACAUACAAUUCAUAGUACCAGAGAAUCUGGCCUAGCCAGUUCUCUCAUUUGCAAAGGCCAAACAGGGACGGAGUGAUUACCUCGGAUGACUUGGAGCAACCAAAUUGGGGUUCCACCCUCAGUUUGGG
Molecule: long non-coding RNA, 527 nt
Filed under: Setaria italica (foxtail millet)
Lineage: Eukaryota; Viridiplantae; Streptophyta; Magnoliopsida; Poales; Poaceae
Description: long non-coding RNA (SITA_LNC001107)
Source: RNAcentral